RNAcentral lists this long non-coding RNA (791 nucleotides) under Setaria italica (foxtail millet). RNAcentral's name for it is "long non-coding RNA (SITA_LNC002349)". Lineage: Eukaryota; Viridiplantae; Streptophyta; Magnoliopsida; Poales; Poaceae. The record is from RNAcentral.
UUGACGGAGAUGACAACGAAAGAGGGCCGAAUGAACUGGAUACAAUUCAACUGGGACAUGUUGAACAAGAAGUGAUUGUGGCAUGACUUUGUUUUAUUGUAGUGUUGUGUACUGAUGGGUUUCGAAAAUAAUGUUUGCACUUGUGUCGAAACAUUAAUGUUAGCUUAUGUAACAUGUCUUGUUCGUUGAACAUUUCGUUUUAGUGCUAGUUAAAUUCCUUUCAAGUUUGAUGUUGUCCAUGCUCAGCAAUUUAUUUCAAGUGAAAUUGGAUCAGUAGUUUCUGUUAAGUUCCUUUCAGUACUUUCUGUUAAGUUUUCUAGGUAAGUUCCUUUCAAGUUCGAUCAGUACUUUGUGUUAAGUUCCUUUCAAGUUGGAUCGGUACUUUCAAGUUAAGUUUUCAAGUUUUCUGUUAAGUUUUCAAGUUAAGUUCCUUUCAAGUUAAAUUCCUUUGAAGUUGGAUCAGAACUUUUUUACCUUGUGUCUAUUUACAUUGCUUUGAAGUUAUUUGGAAUUUUGAUGUCUGUUGUGUUAACCUUUUGGACAGGUAGUUCAGUAGGGCAUUGGUGGCCCUCCGCUCAUCAGUAGCAGGAGCAUUGAUUUAAUUCUGCGGCAGCUCAAGGAAGGGGGAGAGGCAACUUUACAGGCACUGCACAGGUUCGAAACAAAUGCAUAUGUAUAAUUCGGUGCAACUACCUAUGUGUAAGGUGUGUUUGUUGAUGCCCCUCCGAUUGUGCAUGCAUAGGUUCAAUCAAGUAUGAGUAGUGCAGAGGAACAAAACAGUGACACCGGCA